GGCAGUAUGAAAUCUCAGUUCAGCACUGAGGUUUUAAAAACAAGAAUAAGGAAUCUGUGGUCGAGACUGCUUGUUGUCCCCUAUUGUUCAUUCUUCCUUUGUUCUAUUGGUAACAGAACCUGAUUUUAUAUAAGGCAACAUGGUGCCCAGCUAAAAGACUACAUUUUCAAGAACUCCUUUACUACUAUGAAUGGCCAAUCCUGGAACAGGCACGAUGGUUGGCGCUCCUGUUGACCUACUGGACCAUGAAGUAACACCUGGAGAAUAGAAGCCUUGAACUAGAACAGAGGAACAAAAAGGCAAGAAGAGUUUGGAUUCCUGAUGAGUGUGGAGCUGCCAUCCUGAGGAGAACCUGUGCAAUUUAAUUGGUUCCAAGAAACCAAGGACAGAGUUCAGGCAACCGCGGCAGCUGGAAAUUAAGACAAGAUAUCCAGGAAUGGAAAGAG
This is a non-coding RNA of Sus scrofa (pig), 446 nucleotides long. The record is from RefSeq and is a predicted model, not a curated record. Lineage: Eukaryota; Metazoa; Chordata; Mammalia; Artiodactyla; Suidae.